UUUUUUUCUUUCUCUCACUUCUUUAGCUACUUGCGUUUUUUUUUUCUUUCUCUCACUUCUUGCGGUUUUUUUUUUGUCACUUCUUGUAUUUUUUACUUCAAUUCUCUCAAUUCUUUUCUCUUCGAGUGCAUUAACCUCACUCCUUUCAGCUACUUAUGUUUUUUUUUUCUUUUUGUCACUUCUUACUUUUUUUUUUUCUUUUCGAAGAAAGGAUUUCAUUGCAUGCACUUCAAUUCUCUCAAUUCUCUUCCCUUCAAUUGCGCCAACCACCCUAAACCCUAAACACUCUUUACUUCUCUUUGAUUGCACCAACUUCACUUCUCAGUUUUUUUUCUUCUCCACGGUUCUCUCUGUUUUGCUUCGCGCUAUUUUUUGUUUUUGUUAUCUUAGGGUUUUGAUUAUAAGUUUUGAUUUAAUGGAAUUCACAAGCUCGAAUGAUAAAGUUUGUGUUUAUUUUAUUUCAUAGGUUAAUUUCUAUUCUUGAUUUGAUUUUAAUUUUUUGAUUAUAUCUUAGAGUUUUUGGUUCUUGUUAUCUUAGGCUUAUGCUUCUGAUAUGUGGUUUCAUUAUGUCAUUUAGAUUCUUUUACAUCAUGUACGCUGUGUGAUUAUAUUCUGAAAAAUUUAUGUUAUAAAUUUGUGUAAUGAGAAAUGUUUAGCUCCUAGAUGAUGAUGUUGAUUUUAUGAAUGUGUCGGGAUUUAGUGCUAUAUUUGACUAUUGAGUUUGAUUAUGAUGUUUACCGAGUUUGAUUAUAUUCAGAAUCAGUGCUAUAUUUGAUUAAUUAUACAUGUUUACUGAGUUUGAUUAUACUCAGGUUCAGUAUUUGACUACUAAUUUGUCUUGUUCAUUUAUAGAAAAUUGAGAGCGUUAUUAUACCUGAUUUGAUUUUAAAUUUUUUAUUAUCUAUGUUUUAGGUUGUUCUAAGCAUAGAAAUGGCAUUCUUCUCUAUGAAAGAUUAUGAAACUUUUUAUACUAAUUAUGCAAAAAGGGUUAGUUUCUCAUGGAAUAUAAGAACCAUUAAGUCGGAUCAAAAUAGACAGAUUACAUACCAAAUCUUGGUAUUUUUUAGAGCUGGUUAUCGAAGAUCAAGAACUGAUCCACUAAAAAAGACAAAUCCAACUUUCGAGAAAAAUUGUAAAGUUAGGAUUAUUGUGAAAAGGGAUAAGAAGAUGGAAUAUGUGUUAAUCUUUGUGAAUAUCCAACACAACCAUGUUAUUAGUCCUAGCAUGGCAAAGACCCUGAGAAAGAAUAGGAAAUUAAGCUUGCAUGCAAACGGAUAGCUGAGAUCAAUGAUAAAGCUGGUGUUACAAUGAGAAACACAUAUCAGAGUUUAGCAAUUGCUGAAAAAGAUCUUCGAAAUCAUGUAGCAAAUAGUUUCAGAGUCAUACAAGAGGAGGGGGAUGCGCAAUCAUUAAUGCAGUAUUUUCAUAGGAUAUAACAACAAAACUGCAACUUCUUUUACGAAGUUAAAUUGGACGAGCAACAUCACAUAAAGCAUACUUUUUGUGCUGAUGCUAGAAAUCGUGCUGCUUAUAAGCACUUUGGGGACGUUGUGAGCUUUGAUACGAUGUACCUAAUAAAUAGGUAUGAUAUGCCUUUUGCCUCAUUUGUUGGGGUUAACCACCAUGGUCAAUCAUUUCUACUUGGUUGCGCUCUUCUUUCAUGCGAAGAAGAGAGUUCCUUUGUUUGGUUAUUUGAUUGUUGGAUACAAUGUAUGGGUGGCAAGCUGCCUAUUGGCAUAUUGAGGAUCAAUGCAAAGCUAUGCGGAAUGCCAUUGAAAAAUCGUUGCCAAUGACACAACAUUGAUGACGUAUUUGGCAUAUCAUGAAGAAAAUUUCAAAAAAGAUAGGAGCAUGCAAGCAAUUUAACGAGAUUAGUGCUAAUAUGACACAUAUUGUGUGGGAUUCUAGGUCUAAGAAAGCAUUUGAGAACUCUUGGAUUGGUUUGAUCAACAAAUUCAAUUUGUAUGAUAAUAAUUGGUUUGUAUGAAGAACAUGACAGGUGGGUCCUUAUUUUUCUUAGCAACAGUUUUUGGGAAGGCAUGCGUAGCACUUAAAGGAGUGAAAGUAUGCAUGCAUUUAUGAAGGGCUACCUAACCUCAAAGAGAAACUUACAACAAUUUGUAACACUAUGACAACUGUCUUGCAAAUAAAGCUCAACAAGAAUAUGAAUUAGAUGCUGCCAGCUUCAAUACCAUUAUCCUUUGUGUUACUGCCUCUGCUAUUGAGAAACAGUUUUGGUUGUGCUAAACAUGCACACUACUUUCAGCCACUAUUUUCAGCCACCGUAUUUAUAUACGUAUACAAUACAAAAUAGAAAAUUCAAAAAUUAAAAAUAAAAACCUUACUCUCACGCACUGAAACAAUGUUCUUCUUUCUCCUUCUCUUACUCUCACUCCCAUUCUCACUCUCCGACGUGACUCUUUCCUCAUCCUCAUUCUCAGCUAUGAUUCUCCUUCCCUUUCUCUCCGGCGGCACGAUUCUCCUUCCUUCUUUCUCCGGUGGCACGAUUUUCCUUCGCUCUCUUUCAGGCGCGGUUGCGAUUCUCCUUCCUCUGUCUCUGGCGUGGUGCUCUUUGUCUCAUGCACGAAUUUCAUCAAUUGCAUUUUCCUUAUAUGAUUCUGCAAGUUUUGAAAUAUGCAAAAGAAGACUGCACCAAAAUGAGUAGAAAGAGAACCAGAAAACAAGGACACCAAAGAAAAUAAAAGAAAAAAUGUAUCCGAAGAAACUUCGAAGGAGAUGGAAUGGAGAAAAUGCUAUGUUGACACGAGAUGCGCACUAAACUUGUUAGCGACACUUUCUUCUGGUUAUUUGAAUGAUGCGCAACGCAAUGAGGUUCGAGCAAUGGGUUUUGGAUCCCUCUUGGGUAUUUCCAAGGGGAAUUUAAACCAUGAUUUGAUUUUGGCCCUUGCAAAUGCCUAUAAUCUCUCCAAAUUUCAUCUUCUCACUCCAAUAGGAAAAGUAGAUGUUACUUGAGAUUCAGUUGCAGCUGUCUUGGGAUUGCGUGCAUACGGUGACUCAUUCAAGGAGGUAACUAAAGAGCAUGAGCCCAUGCUUUUAGAGUUCAAGAAAAAAGUCCAAAUACUUUGAGACAAAUCAUGUUAGAAAAUCCAAGAGGGGGUCCUAGAUUUAGGAGAGCUUUCUUGUUGUAUGCAUUGAUAACAUUUUUGUUACCAAUAAAUACAACAAUGACUUUGGAUAAAAUUUUCUCAUUUGUAAUUGAUGUUAAUAAUCCAAUGAAGUACAAUUGGAUUAUAUGUAUUAUGAUGGCCUUGCCGAUAGAGUUAACAACUUUAAAGAAUGAGCAGUGUCAAGUUUGAAUGGGUGCAUAUAUGUGCUUCAGAUUUUAUACUUUCAUCAGCAAAAAUAUGGACCCUUUGAUUUUUAUAAAGAACCCAACUGCCUUGGUUUCUCCAUUGGACAAAGGAACUCAUUUCUGCCUAAAUAGCAUUAGAAAGAAAAAGUUCAUCGGGGCUGGUUAGGUCAAAGGAAGAGCAACUUGUGCCUAAACGGCCAGUUCGACCAAAGAAAAGCAUUGUGAAAGGGGCUACCAAUGUGGAAAAGAGCAAAGUGAAAAUAAAAAAGUGGUAGAAGCCCUAAGAAGGAUAAAAAAUAAUUGAGGCAAGAAGAUUCUGCAAAAUCAACCAAAGUGAAAAAACAACAAAGUAAAAAGAGAAAAGUGAUAGACAGUCCUAAUAAGGACAAAAAGGAAUUGAGGCAGGAAGACUCUAUAAAAUCAAAGAGAGAAAAGAAGUAAGAACGAGGAGCAAACACAAGCUCCAAUGAAAAGCAUGGUAUCUUUGAACCCAACACUUGUUGGGUUGGAACAUUAAUUGAAUCCAAGGUCAUAGCCGUUGGAGGUGUUGGAGAAAAUUCAACUCCUAGGUUGAAGGUAGGCAUUGAUGGUGGGUGUGUUUUCUUUUCAUUCCGGCUGUGGAUAAUGCACAGAAAAGCAAGGAUGUAAUCAAACUAGAAACAUAUUUGCAAUUUACAUUUCAUGAAGAUUUAGAUUAUACUACGGGAAGGAUAAUCAAACUCAUUAGUCAUUUAUAAUCAAACUCAGUAAACAUGUAUAAUCAAACAUAGUAGUCAAAUAUAGCACUGAACCUGAACGUAAUCAAACUCAGCAAAUACAUAUAAUCAAACUCAGCAAUCAAACUCGAUAAACAUGUAUAAUCAAACUCAAUAAACAUGUAUAAUCAAACUCAGCAGUCAAAUAUAGCACUGAAUCUGAAUAUAGUCAAAGUCGGUAAACAUGUAUAAUCAAACUUAGAUUAUAAUCAAACUCAGUAGUCAAAUAUAGCACUAAACCUGAAUAUAAUCUAACUUUUUAAAAACAUGUAUAAUCAAACUCAGAGUAUAAUCAAACUUUGUAAUAUGUAAACACGUAUAAUCAAAUGAGUAAAGUAUCAUUUUUGUCCCCAACAUUUGGGGUAAGUCUUAUUUGUGUCCCUAACGUUUAAAUCGUCCUAUUUGUAUCCAUAGUGUUUAUAAAAGUGAUUCAAUGUUAUCCUACUAUCAAUUAUACUAACAAAUCAGAUUAUAUUUUUCAAUUAUUCUCACUUGGAUGCGUUCGAUUUUAAUAUUAUACCCACUAUUUGUGUUUAGAUUCAAUUAUGUCCCUAGAAAAGUGAAUUAUAUAAAUGUUGUAUGAAUUAGUUUCAACUUUUGAUGAGCUAUUUUUCGGAGUAGAUCAUCAAUUCUAUCCCAGAUAUUUGUAUUCUAACUUCAAGAAUAGAUUUUUAAAACUCAAACUAAAGCGUCCAUGAUGUGUAAUUGACGGUAGGAUAAUAUUGAAUCACUUUUAUAAAUGUUAGGGAUACAAAUAGGACGAUUUAAACGUUAGGGACACAAAUAGGAUUUACCCCAAAUGUUGGGGACAAAAAUGAUACUUUACUCUAAUCAAACUCAGAGUAUAAUCAAAGGAAGCAAGUAAUUAUUAAUUUUUAACAUCAUGUACGUAACAUCCUACCACACAGAGUCUUAUGCUUAAGUCAUAAAAUAAUGGUGGCGAGGUAUUACGACCUCUAAAAUAAAAUUUAGUACGUAUAGUAUUGCAAAAAUGUUCAUAAAUAAGAGCCUUUGAAGAAAAAUGGGUAAUUUAAAACCGAUAAAUCGAAAAGCGCGACACUCCGAUUGUUAACACAAACGAACAGCUAGAGAUCAAACUAAGGCAAAGAGAUAUACAAAAGAGUGCCAAAGUACAUAUAUCAAGACUCGGGACUCAGCUUGUGGAGAUAACCGGUCCGAGUAUACAGUAUACAUACAUAUAUAAUAAGGAAAAUCCCAAAAGACAAUAUACAAAUCCUGUUUCUCCAAAAUAACCUUUAGGAGGAGCCCAAAACAAAGUAUAUAUGUAUACAGUGGAGAAUAUAGUAUCUAAAUAGUUAUAUAAUAGCUAAAAUAAAAUCCCAAGACACAAGGAUCUCCGCCAAAAGAAAGUCUCCAGCAUGCCUCAGCGAGGAAUCUCACGUCCUGCAUCUUAAGGAUCUUCGGUCUAACUAUAUAUCCACAAAAAUCCGCAUGGGUGAGAAUCGGAGGUUCUCAACAUGGUAACAGUGCCCAAAUAUCUAACAUGUAAUGUCCUGGGAAAGCCGAAGGCAAUUCUAGAACUUCCAAAUUAUAAUCAAAGCGUAUAAACAUAACUAAACCAUAACAAAUGUAAAUAGGCGACUAACUUAAGGAUUUUCGGUCUAACUAUAUAUCCCCUUUCCAAAUCCUGCGAACCUUCCAACCGCCAACAGUAAAAUAAAUGCAAGGACAAGUAUAUCAAGCAAGGAAAUGUACAAGUAGGAAGCAGAUAGAACAAUUAAGCAAGUAGCAAGUAGUGAUGUAGUCAAUUAGGCAAUCCAGACAAAUCACAUACAAUGCAUAUGAUGCAUGCCUGUCCUAGUAGCUGAUGAGUCUCAUAUGUCAGUUAUAAAGCCAGCCCAACAAGUCCCGGUAGCUAACCGUUGGACUGUCCCUCUGUCGCGCAUUCCCAACUCGAGUUAUCUAUAAACAUAUCAUUUAUAUUCAACACCCUCAUUGGUGUAUAUUUACGGGGGCAAGCUCAUCCGAAACUUUCACAGUGUCCAACCACACUUACGACAUAGGGUCAGCAGAGUAUCGAGUCUCCACCUAGAGCACGUGGUGGCUAGCAACUGCUUUCACCCAGGAAAACUCGUAUUUCAGAUAGGUGGAGUGCAACAGUCCUAAUAAUCAACAAUUCAGCAUAUAUGCAACAAUCACAGCCAUACAUUAAUAUUUAUCUCAGCCAUCUGGCUUUCAAAUUAUAGUACAUAACCAGCCAUAAUCACCAUCAUACACCGCCAUUCGGCUCAUGACAUGCUCAGCCAUUGGUUCAUCUCAUAUACAGCACUCCACCGCCUUUCUCAACAACUUAUAUCAUCAUCAUUCAUCAUAUUCAUCAUAAAAUCCCUUUUCUUCCUCCACAAGUUACCCAUUUCCCAGCUUUCUCUAAAUCUCUAGGCAUUUAAUAUCAAUCUAAAACUUAAGGGAUGAAAUUGGGGGUUUAUAGGUGUGAAAUAACAUUCCAGAAGGUUACGAGCUUGUUGGGAAUGUGAAGAGCUUGAAAACAAAGUUUUAGAAAAAAAUGGGUCGCGUGCGUACGCACAGGGGGGUGUGCGUGCGCACGACUAGAAACAUUUUUAAACACGUGCGUACGCACAGGUCUGUGUAUACGCACAGAAAGGAAAAUCUUCAGGGUGGGGGCGCGCACACAACGUGUGCUAACGCUGCCACCAGUGUGCCAUUUCCAACGUGUGCGUGCGCACACAAACCAGAAAUUACAAAUUAUGCAGAAGUUGCAGAAUUCAGAUUGUUAACCCAAACUUCCAACGAUCAUAUCUCCUUCCACAAAAUUCGGAUUUUCACCAAAUUUAAACAAUUUUAAAGCUCAUAAAAUUAUCUUUCUAUUGAUAUAAAAAAUCAUCAAAUUUCAAAAAUAAUUGAUCGAGAUAUGGUCCGUUAAAGUUCAUCAAAUUCCAGUUUUUACCAAAACUUAUAAAUUCCCAUUUUUAAGACAUGCACUUACCAAACUCAUUCAAAACCCAGCCAAACCCAAUGUUUCAAUACCAAAUACUCCCAUCCACUCAUUCAAUCAUCAACCCAUCAAUUCCAUCAUGAUUAGCCAAAUCUCAAGGUGACAAAUCCCACAUCAUAAUCACAUAUUCACAUCUGAAUCUCCAACCAAUACCCAAUUCAUCAAUCACCAUAUAUAUAUACUUACACAUACCAAAUUCAUAUUUCAAGUCGUGCUCAUCAACACAAGCAUAAAUGCUAUCAUCAAUUCUAUAUAUUGAACCAUAUCACAUACAACUCUCACAUAUUAAACCCACGCUUAUCAUCAUUCACAAUCCUCUAACCGCCACUCAAAUACUCAUCUCAAUCCAAUGUUCAACAACUACAUCAACAUUCCACAAUUCACUAAAUUCAUAUACAACAACACAAUUCAUUUUAAUUCAUCCACAACAUUAAUGAUUCAACUCCUAUCUUAUGGUCUCUAGCCUACAUUUUCACACCACAUUACAUUUUUGAUACAGGAAAUCGAAACCAUACAUUGGCCGAUUCUCGUUCCACCCGGAACACUCCCAAAUUCACUUUUCCUCAACUUCCAAUGUCUCAAUGCUUCACCAACAGAUUUCCAAGCUUGGGAUUCCAUGCCAAAGCUUUUCAAAACCACCAAUCAAGCUCCAAAACACAUAUAUACAAUGCCUAAGCCACAAUAUCACAUAAAAACACAAUAACUCAAUCACUAAAUCACAAAAUCUCAAGUCUCUAGCUUAGGGUUUAGAAUCUCACCUUACCCAAAGACCAAGGGAGCUAGAGAAAGCCUUCCCUUCAAGUUAAUUUGAGCCUACAACAUCCAAACUCAAAAAUCUCAACACUUUACCCACAAAUUUUUGAAAAUGAGGGCUGAGAAUUCGAAGAAGAUUCUGUGACUUACCUCAAGAUUGCUUGGGUGGGUUUUGUAGAGCUCGACGUCGCGGUCGCGGUCGCGUGGCAGCAAACGGUGCGUCAAUCGGAGCUUUGCAUCAAAAGAUAUGAUCAAUUGAAGUUGGAGCAAGGGUUUGUGUUUUCCUCUUCCUUUCCCCUCUCAAUCUCAGCGUGAAUGUGUUCUUGAGGGAGGGAGAGAGCUGAGCUUCAUUUAAUUAAAUGAAGCUUGGCUGGGCCAUGGGCCCAAUUUGGGUCCAUUUGGCCCGGUUUGGCCCGUUCGGCCCAAUCUUCGGCCGAUUUCUUUAAAAUUGGUGUCAAAAUUAUCGUUUCGAAUUUCUCUACCACAUUAGAUCAUAAAAACCUCAUUUGUCACCUUCUAUAAUUAUUUUAAUUUAUGAGUUAAUUAGCUAUAAAUUAACCGAGUUUUACAAUGUACGAAAGUGAAUGUAGUAUACAUGAGUGCUGAAAAGUCAAAACACAGAAUGGUGGGAAUGCCAAACUACCUUACUUUUCAUUGGAACUUGUGUUUGCUCCUCCCUCUUGCUUCUUUUUUCUCUUUGAUUUUGUAGAGUCUUCUUGACUCAAUUCCUUUUUGUCCUUAUUAGGACUGUUUACCACUUUUCUCUUUUCACUUUGUUGUUUUUUCACUUUGGUUGAUUUUGCAUAAUUUUCUUGCCUCAAUUCUUUUUUAUCCUUUUUAGGGCUGUCUAACACUUUUUUCUUUCAUUUUGCUCUUUUUCCACUUUGAUAACCUUUUUCAUAAUGCUUUUCUUUGGUCGAACUGGCCAUUUAGGCACAAGUUGCUCUUCCUUUGACCUAACCAGCCCUUAUAAGACAUGUAUAAUUAGUGAAAAUCCAUUCAUUAUGGAUAGAAAAUGAAAUUUUAGAGAGCAGAUAAUGUAAGUAUCGAUGAAAUUUUUCUUUCUAAUGCUAUUUGGGCAGAAAUGAGUUCCUUUGUCUAAUGGGGAAGCCAAGGCGGUUGUAGUUCUUUCUCAAAAUCAAAGGGUCUAUAUUUUUGCUUAUGGAAGUAUAAAAUCUGAAUUCAAUUAAUUAAAGUUAUAUUAUAAUCAAACAUGCU
This is a long non-coding RNA of Arachis duranensis, 9013 nucleotides long. RefSeq lists it as uncharacterized. NCBI's taxonomy places the organism in Eukaryota, Viridiplantae, Streptophyta, Magnoliopsida, Fabales, Fabaceae. The transcript is spliced from 9 exons. The record is from RefSeq and is a predicted model, not a curated record.